This 204-nucleotide long non-coding RNA is filed under the name Phoenix dactylifera (date palm). RNAcentral describes it as "long non-coding RNA (PDAC_LNC012884)". The record is from RNAcentral. Lineage: Eukaryota; Viridiplantae; Streptophyta; Magnoliopsida; Arecales; Arecaceae.
CACUUUUAGUUCUUUCGCCAGCUUGAGCCCGGCGAUGAGAGCCUCAUACUCGGCCUCAUUGUUCGAGGCCGGGAAUUCGAGGCGCAAAGCUUGCUCGGCCACCACUCCGUCUGGACUGGUGAGGAUAAGUCCGGCCCCGCUGCCCCCCGAGGUCGAAGACCCGUCCGAGUGCAGGACCCAUGGCUGCCUCGGGGCCUCCUCCAC